This is a non-coding RNA of Nicotiana tabacum (common tobacco), 983 nucleotides long. Lineage: Eukaryota; Viridiplantae; Streptophyta; Magnoliopsida; Solanales; Solanaceae. The record is from RefSeq and is a predicted model, not a curated record.
CCCGCCACCUUCCCCUCGUUUUUCCAUUUCUCUACAAACAUAUGUAAAUCCCUCAAUUUCACUCUCCAUCUCUCAACCAGAAGCUGAAGUACUUCCACCGCCGGCAUCCUCUGUUGCUCUGAUCUGGGAACUCAAUAACCAUCCGAAUUUGAAAAAGAAUAGAGUCUAAACUGUUUACUGGAAUGCUGAAAAAUUGAAGAGAUAAUAAUGAUGAAGAAAAUGAAAGCAAGGUUCCAAGACAAGACAUUUACUGCUCUUCUUCAGCUAACCUUCCUCGUAAUUCAUCAAAAAAGGUAGUUGUCAACUUAGUUACAGCAUUUUGGAGAAGAAUGAGAUUUGCCAGCUGAAAAGGGGUAGAAAGUUCUGUAGAUUAUCAAUGUGGUUGAAGUGGAGUGGCGCCACGGCCAAGAUUUUUGUUGAUAGGGAAUAAAAUUCGAAUUUGAAGUAGAGAGGUGCAAUGGCCAAGUAAGAAAUUCUAAGGAAUUGGUUGAGAACAACUAUGAAAAGCAUAAUUGAGGGAACCUUGUGUUAGCCAAUACUUUAGAUUUGUUGACGAAUUGAGUAACAUGGUUGAUCAGAAGUUGAACUUGAGUAAUUGGCAUCUGGAGGUGAGUGAUGACUUGAACUAUGAAUUUUUUUUCCCAUAAAGAGCAUGAUUUGGAAAUUUAAUUCUUAAUUGAACUUCUAUGUUCGACAGAAUUGAGUUUUUCUGUAAAGAUAUAUGCAUCUGAUAUACUUUGGUAUGUUGGGACAAGUUUGAGAUUCGUAAGUUGAUACUUGAAAUAUGUACAAAGUAUGUCUUACGAGAUUGUUGAUAUGAUACGAACUUAUCCUAUUUGAGAUUACUAUAGUAAUUUUUUGCCUAUUUCAUUGAGUUACAUUAAGCUGAUGUUAACUGCAUAUUAACUUUUGGAUUGUGACUUGUGAUGAGAUUGGACUCCAAGGUGAGUCGCUAUAUAUAUGUCAUGGUAUAUUUAUCUGAA